GAAAUUAUGGACAAAGACAAGCAUUAAAAGUUCGUUAGCAUCUUCAGACGUGUUUCGUCUCAAAAAAAAAAUUUUUUUGUUCCUGUCGAAUGUCGAAUAUACAGAUAUCAACUAUACAGAUAUCAUAUCAAUAUACAGAUAUAUCAACUAUAAUUUUUAAACUACUCAUAAACCCGCUGAUGGCCGAAAGUCGUACUUGCGAUUGGGUCAAAAUAGAUUAAAGAAGGAGAAGACAAAGCAUUAGAAUCAUGUAUAAUAUGUUAUAUUUUAUUUCAAUGUGUAUUUAAAUCAUGUGCAAUGACGCGCUGUUAGAGAAUAACUGAGUAAAAAUGCCAAAAGGCAGAAACGAAACCAAUCAAAGAUAUCAAGAAUGGAAAAGAAGAUGAGCUGUCAGAGGAAGAUAAACUUUUACAGGAGGAAUUAACUCUGCUCAUGGAGCGCUUGCAGGAUGCCAAUACCAAACUGCACCUUCCUGCCCUGGAAUCCUUGCAUUCGCACAUUCGUGCAUUGACAACAUCAAUGAGAAGUGUUCCAAAGCCACUGAAAUUUAUGUAGCCUCACUAUGAUACUAUGAAGAACAUUUAUGAAAUGAUGACUAAUGUCAAAUUUUUGAAAACCGAACAUCUACUGCUGAACAUCAAUUUACUGCCAUUGCCAUUGUAUAUGUAUUGCCGAUAUAAUAACCACGAAAUAAUAUUUGUGUAAAAUUUAAUGUUCAAAUAAAAAGAUUUGUUCUCU
Nylanderia fulva is the source of this 738-nucleotide long non-coding RNA. RefSeq lists it as uncharacterized. Lineage: Eukaryota; Metazoa; Arthropoda; Insecta; Hymenoptera; Formicidae. The record is from RefSeq and is a predicted model, not a curated record.